UUCCUGGAGGUCUAGUGGUUAGGCCCCUGUGCUCUCACUGCCAUGGCCCGGGUUUUAUUCCCGGCCAGGGAA
Pangasius djambal is the source of this 72-nucleotide non-coding RNA. Lineage: Eukaryota; Metazoa; Chordata; Actinopteri; Siluriformes; Pangasiidae. The record is from the annotation of a GenBank genome assembly.